Molecule: ribosomal RNA, 719 nt
Filed under: uncultured fungus
Lineage: Eukaryota; Fungi
Description: SSU rRNA
Rfam family: Eukaryotic small subunit ribosomal RNA
Source: RNAcentral
GUGCCAGCCGCCGCGGUAAUUCCAGCUCCAAUAGCGUAUAUUAAAGUUGUUGCAGUUAAAAAGCUCGUAGUUGAACCUUGGGCCUGGCUGGCCGGUCCGCCUCACCGCGUGUACUGGUCCGGCCGGGCCUUUCCUUCUGGGGAACCUCAUGCCCUUCACUGGGCGUGUUGGGGAACCAGGACUUUUACUUUGAAAAAAUUAGAGUGUUCAAAGCAGGCCUUUGCUCGAAUACAUUAGCAUGGAAUAAUAGAAUAGGACGUGUGGUUCUAUUUUGUUGGUUUCUAGGACCGCCGUAAUGAUUAAUAGGGAUAGUCGGGGGCAUCAGUAUUCAAUCGUCAGAGGUGAAAUUCUUGGAUUGAUUGAAGACUAACUACUGCGAAAGCAUUUGCCAAGGAUGUUUUCAUUAAUCAGUGAACGAAAGUUAGGGGAUCGAAGACGAUCAGAUACCGUCGUAGUCUUAACCAUAAACUAUGCCGACUAGGGAUCGGACGGUGUUAUUCAUGACCCGUUCGGCACCUUACGAGAAAUCAAAGUGCUUGGGCUCCAGGGGGAGUAUGGUCGCAAGGCUGAAACUUAAAGAAAUUGACGGAAGGGCACCACCAGGGGUGGAAGCCUGCGGCUUAAUUUGACUCAACACGGGGAAACUCACCAGGUCCAGACACAAUAAGGAUUGACAGAUUGAGAGCUCUUUCUUGAUUUUGUGGGUGGGUGGUGCAUGA